This 524-nucleotide ribosomal RNA is filed under the name uncultured bacterium. Its description in RNAcentral is "bacterial SSU rRNA". It matches the Rfam family "Bacterial small subunit ribosomal RNA", at positions 366 to 895 of the family's 1533-position model. The record is from RNAcentral.
GCGCAAUGGGCGGAAGCCUGACGCAGCGACGCCGCGUGGGGGAUGACGGCCUUCGGGUUGUAAACCUCUUUCGCCAUCGACGAAGCCUUUCGGGGUGACGGUAGGUGGAGAAGAAGCACCGGCCAACUACGUGCCAGCAGCCGCGGUAACACGUAGGGUGCGAGCGUUGUCCGGAAUUAUUGGGCGUAAAGAGCUCGUAGGCGGUGUGUCGCGUCGGCCGUGAAAACCUGGGGCUUAACUCUGGGCAUGCGGUCGAUACGGGCAUCACUUGAGUUCGGCAGGGGAGACUGGAAUUCCUGGUGUAGCGGUGAAAUGCGCAGAUAUCAGGAGGAACACCGGUGGCGAAGGCGGGUCUCUGGGCCGAUACUGACGCUGAGGAGCGAAAGCGUGGGGAGCGAACAGGAUUAGAUACCCUGGUAGUCCACGCCGUAAACGUUGGGCGCUAGGUGUGGGGACCAUUCCACGGUUUCUGUGCCGCAGCUAACGCAUUAAGCGCCCCGCCUGGGGAGUACGGCCGCAAGGCU